GAUGAACGCUGGCGGCGUGCCUAAUACAUGCAAGUCGAGCGAACGGACGAGAAGCUUGCUUCUCUGAUGUUAGCGGCGGACGGGUGAGUAACACGUGGAUAACCUACCUAUAAGACUGGGAUAACUUCGGGAAACCGGAGCUAAUACCGGAUAAUAUUUUGAACCGCAUGGUUCAAAAGUGAAAGACGGUCUUGCUGUCACUUAUAGAUGGAUCCGCGCUGCAUUAGCUAGUUGGUAAGGUAACGGCUUACCAAGGCAACGAUGCAUAGCCGACCUGAGAGCGUGGACGGGCACUGGGGAGGUGACACGCGAUCCAGGGACCUACGGGAGGCAGCAGUAGGGAAGGGUCCGAAAUGGGCGAAAGACUGAAGGAGUAACGGAGGGUGAGUGAAGAAAGGCUUCGGAUCGUAAAACGGUCUUAUUAGGGAAGAACAAAUGUGUAAGUAACUAUGCACGACUUAACGGUACGGAAUAAGAAAGCCACGGCUAACUACGG
This 496-nucleotide ribosomal RNA is filed under the name uncultured bacterium. RNAcentral describes it as "partial 16S ribosomal RNA". It matches the Rfam family "Bacterial small subunit ribosomal RNA", at positions 28 to 506 of the family's 1533-position model. The record is from RNAcentral.